AAUGGUUAAUAGAUUACAAUGGAAUGUUUUAAGAUCUUCCUAUAUGUAAUUUGACACUGCUGAUUUUAAAUUUCAGAGCAUAAAAACUUUAGAUUUAAAAUAACCAAAUUUAUCCUCGAUGGCAUGCAAGAUCUUUCUAAAAAUUAACCUAAGACCUAGAAGUCUCAGUAUUAUCAGAACGUAAAGAAACACAACAAAUUUGUACAUUUUAUUCACAUUUAUUUUUCGCUUUUAGUGUGCUCACAGAAAAUUAGAACACCUUAAGCAGGAGUUUAAUAGCAAUUUUUGUAAGCAAAGUUACAUUCCAUCUCUAAGUCAAAUUGGUCAAAGCUUCUCCAGUAUUCUCAAAGACGACUGGAAAAGAAAGCAUUGCCUGCUGUAAUGAAAAACAUACCACAGUAAAAUUUGUGUUUAAA
This 416-nucleotide long non-coding RNA is filed under the name Oryctolagus cuniculus (rabbit). Its description in RNAcentral is "lncRNA (ENSOCUG00000030725.1)". Lineage: Eukaryota; Metazoa; Chordata; Mammalia; Lagomorpha; Leporidae. The record is from RNAcentral.